GUGAAACCCUGUGGGAAGCAGGGGGGACCACCCUCCAAGCCUAAAUACUCUCCUGUGACCGAUAGCGCACUAGUACCGCGAGGGAAAGGUGAAAAGCACCCCGGGAGGGGAGUGAAACAGCACCUGAAACCGCCUGCCCACAAGCAGUCGGAGCACCUGUUCGCAGGUGUGACGGCGUGCCUUUUGUAGAAUGAGCCAGCGAGUUGCGGCGCGUGGCGAGGCCAAGCCACGAAGCGAGCCGUAGCGACAGCGAGUCCGAACAGGGCGUCGAGUCGCGCGCCGCAGACGCGAAGCCGGGUGAGCUAUCCAUGGGCAGGCUGAAGCGGGGGUAAGACCCCGUGGAGGGCCGAACCCACCUAGGUUGAAAACUGGGGGGAUGACCCGUGGAUAGGAGUGAAAGGCCUAUCAAACCCGGAGAUAUCUCGUUCUCCCCGAAAUAGCUUUAGGGCUAGCCUCGGGCGUUUACCAUGGGGGGUAGAGCACUGGACUGCAGCGGGGGCCUCACCGCCUACCAACGCAGACCAAACUCCGAAUACCCAUGGUCCACAGCCCGGGAGUCAGAACAUGUGGGCUAAGCUGUGUGUUCGAAAGGGAAACAGCCCAGACCGCCCGCUAAGGCCCCCAAGUCGAUGUUGAGUGGCAAAGGAUGUGCGUCCGCCCAGACAACCAGGAUGUUGGCUUAGAAGCAGCCACCCAUUCAAAGAGUGCGUAAUAGCUCACUGGUCGAGUGGACAUGCGCCGACAAUACACGGGGCUAAGCAUCGCGCCGAAGCGGCGGACCGGAACAUUGGUUCCGGUGGUAGGGGAGCUUCCCGUGCGCGGCGAAGCCGAGGGACGACCCUCGGUGGAGCGCCCGGGAGUGAGAAUGCUGGCAUGAGUAACGAGAGCGGGGUGGAAAACCCCGCCGCCGUAAACCCAAGGUUUCCUGGGCGAGGCUAAUCCUCCCAGGGUCAGUCGGGGGCUAAGGCGAGGCCGGAAGGCGUAGCCGAUGCACAGCGGGCCGACAUUCCCGCACCCCCGGAAGGGCGCUACAACCGAUGGGGCGACGCAGGAGGGUAGCUGGACGGGGUUCUGGACGUCCCCGCGAUGGCGCGUAGGGCGGCUCCCAGUGAAACGCGGGAGCCACGUGAGCCUGAGGCGCCGGACGAAGCCGCAAGGCGAAGCCAGUGAGCCCAUGCUGCCGAGAAAAACCCCUAGGGAGCCCGACGGGGCCCGUACCGCAAACCGACACAGGUGGGUGGGUAGAGAAUACCAAGGCGAUCGGGAGAACUAUGGUCAAGGAACUCGGCAAAAUCGCCCCGUAACCUCGGGAGAAGGGGCGCCGGCCUGGGUGGGGGGACACGCUCCCCGAGCCCGGUCCGGCCGCAGCGAAAAGGUCCAAGCGACUGUUUACCAAAAACACAGGACUCUGCUGAAGUCGUAAGACGACGUAUAGGGUCUGACGCCUGCCCGGUGCCGGAAGGUCACGAGGAGCCGUCAGCGCAAGCGAAGCGGCGAAUCCAAGCCCCGGUAAACGGCGGCCGUAACUAUAACGGGCCUAAGGUAGCGAAAUUCCUUGUCGGGUAAGUUCCGACCCGCACGAAAGGCGUAA
RNAcentral lists this ribosomal RNA (1591 nucleotides) under human gut metagenome. RNAcentral describes it as "bacterial LSU rRNA". It matches the Rfam family "Bacterial large subunit ribosomal RNA", at positions 426 to 2004 of the family's 2925-position model. The record is from RNAcentral.